Small nucleolar RNA from Beta vulgaris subsp. vulgaris (sugar beet), 107 nucleotides. The record is from Rfam. Lineage: Eukaryota; Viridiplantae; Streptophyta; Magnoliopsida; Caryophyllales; Amaranthaceae.
AUUUUAGAUGUGUUUCCUGUUGUAAACAUGGACGGAAAUUCAUGUGUAGGCUUUAGGUGAGCUAUGAAUGAGUUGUAUCUCGCUCAUAAAGAAACCUACAGAUAUUG